AUGAACGGGGCGAUUCUGAAAAGAGGCAGACGAAAAUCGAGCCCGCCCUGCCCGGGCUGGGCUGGGAACAGUUCGCAGGGCUCUGCCGAGUGGGCGAGCGAGGCGCGCGAGCAGGGCGCCCGUCCCCCCUCAGCCCCGGAAAAUGAUCAAGUCAAUCAUGUGGACAUGUUUCAUUAUUCAUUGAACACAAUCUUUUACAACGCUCCGUUUACGUGCCCGAGUUUGCUCCCGACGCCCGCGUUUCAGUGUUUAAGGGAACUGGGACGGCCCUCUGGCAAUCUGUCAGUGCCUGGAUCAGCUGCAUCCUUUCUGGGGUAUUUUCUCACCAGACUGACAGUCCUUAAGACAAGUAUGCAGUUAAGCUGCUAAGG
This 371-nucleotide long non-coding RNA is filed under the name Sus scrofa (pig). Its description in RNAcentral is "lncRNA (ENSSSCG00025008753.1)". The record is from RNAcentral. Lineage: Eukaryota; Metazoa; Chordata; Mammalia; Artiodactyla; Suidae.